Nelumbo nucifera (sacred lotus) is the source of this 74-nucleotide non-coding RNA. Lineage: Eukaryota; Viridiplantae; Streptophyta; Magnoliopsida; Proteales; Nelumbonaceae. The record is from Rfam.
GUUUGGGUGGUGUAGUUGGUUAUCAUGCCAGUCUCACACAUUAGAGGUCCCUGGUUUGAACCCGGGCUCAAGCA